Molecule: long non-coding RNA, 2253 nt
Organism: Onychostoma macrolepis
Lineage: Eukaryota; Metazoa; Chordata; Actinopteri; Cypriniformes; Cyprinidae
Exons: 6
Source: RefSeq, a predicted model, not a curated record
GAGCAACACUGUAACUGACGAACAGUAAAUCUCCGUCUCUCGCUGCUGUUUUCACUGCUUUCAGAAAUGUUUUACAGUCUUCGAAAAGUCUGCUAGCAUCUGUUUUCAGACGAGGAGUGAUAAUAUAAUCUUUUUACAAAGGAAGAGAAGCUCCAAGAUUUCAACAUUUCUGAAGGGAGCUGCUGACAGAAAUGCAGAAAAAACAGAUUAUGAUGGCCGUGCAGCAGAGGAGCGCAGAGUCUCCCGUCGGACAGCAUCUCUAAGUCGGUAUGAACCAUGUGACUAGAUGCUAUGUACCCAGCCUCAACCAUUCAUCAGAAGGACUGUGAAAGCGGGAACUCUUUGAACCACCAGUGGCAGUUUCCACAGGAUGAAAAAGGGCAUAGUAGUGGAUGAUGAGGUCCUGAGACCAUAUGGGGUGAAGAUCAAGACAACCAAACCAAAGGUGGACUGUAACCUACUGGACUAUAUGAUAGACUUCACACUGACCACUACUGCCAUGUAUGCAGCAUGAAAAGUUCUUGAAAAGAGGGGCAUUUCCUUCACCAAGUAAAAGUGUGGAGGAUUCAUCUGGCCUUCAUCGACCCUCAUGAGGUGACUCGAUGUAGAAUAAAUCAGCUUGCUUUAGGCUUGAAAUGACUGAAAUCUUCUCGUGAGUUGAUAUCAUUUUAAACAUUCUUUAAAGUACUUCUCAUUUCUUGUGAAUGUAUUUUGUAGUAUGUGUAAAACUUUUCCAAUGAAAGAACCUUUUUUACCGUUAUUGAUAUUGUAAUCAAGGUUGUUAAUGCGAUGGACUGCACACAUCUGUCUGUGUUGGGCUUGUGUUUACAGGUUGUAUAAAACUAGGCCUGGCUGCAACAACUAAUCGAUAAUUAAAAUAAUCAUCAACGAAUUUGAAUAGUGCAUCAAAACAAACAGACCGCUCAUAAUUCUGACUAAAAUACACAUUUUGCUCAAAUAUUUUUUUGUCAGAAAUUAAGUGUAGGUUUAAAACAAUAUGUUAAUUUGAUUAUUGAUGUAUCACAGCUGUUAUUGUGGUCCCUUUGUUUGUAUUGCCCGGUCGAGUGUUGUGUCCUCUGUUUUCUUCUCGCGAGAGUUCGCUCGCGACGUGCAAGGGGAAUCCCGUGACGUCAUCCUGAUCAUCUGAUUUUGCACUUCCGAUAAAAGAAGCCGGUUGAGGGUCGUUCGAGAGUGACGUUCUUCGUGCUCAAAUGGAAACACAGCGAUCGAUCGCCUAUUCUACUUUCCGCUGUUUAGGACUGUGACACAGAGUUUCUACCUUGUGGAAAUAACCGUUUUGGUGGGAUUAUUUUGCCUUGGACUUCGUCACAGAACAGCGCUGCUCCUUAACGUGCUCCCGGACUAACAAAGUUUCACCGGUGAGACCGAAACAUACACACACACACACACACCUCCAUUGGACUUUUAUGGGCAUUUACACCCAUGCGUUCUUGUACAUAUGUAUACAUUUUGUCUUGCAUCUUUUUGUAUAAUACACUCCGGGUUGGCAUUUAUUCCUUGUUUUGUUGCUCAUUUUACCUGCAUUCAGUUAAACACAAUAGUUAAAGAGAUAACCGGACAAUUCUAUUUGUGUAGCCUGCCUUAUUUCGGCCGAGCGUUACAAUAUAAUAUAAUUGCUCUGUUCAGACGAAUGAUUGUGUUUGUUCCUCGUACCUCUUACAAGUUAACAUUUUUGUUUAAAUUGUUUUAAAUUCUGUUUCAAAAUAACAAGCAAUCUGUUGUUUUUAGGUUUAGAAUGUAAUGUUUGUAUUUUAACACUUUAAUGUUUAUAAUGUACAGCAGAGCCUACAUAGAGACAUUCAUUAUAUUUGUUUUCAUAGACAGGAUGUGAAAUGACAUUCUUUAAAAUAAUGAAUAAUGAAAAUAAUUACAAUUAUUUUAAUUAAAAAAUAAUGUAUAUAUUUUAUAUUUAUUUUUUUGUCAUCCAAUUACUAGUAUUAAUAAAAAAAAUCUACAGAUAAAUUGAUUAUCAAAAAAAAAUUAGUUGCAUGCAGCCCUACAUAAGAUAUUGUUAAAGAGGUCAGCGGUAUAAUGUUGUGUGUGAACACUAAGUCAUGUUUAUUUGUGCAACAUGUAAUUAAUUUCUAUAGAGAUAAUGCAUUAUUACAGUGAAACAAUUUGCUAUUUUUAUUUUGUAAAUUAGCAGAAAACCAUCUCUACCACUGCAGUGCUUUAUCACUAUUUUUAAAUAGUUAUAGUUCAUAGUUCUGAAUCAUUUUGACAUGUGACAAC